UUCCAAUCAGCCCCAGAUGAAAACGAAUGAUCCGGUUGGAAUGCUAUUGGAUAUAUGUGAUUAUAACAUCCUGAAGAUUGAUUCUGCACUUAGUUUGACCAGUUUCUUCGACCUGUAAUAUGUAAUUUGGAAGUUUUGAUGCAAAGUUAUCCUGGACCAGAAGUCAUUUUUUGGGAAUUUGAGCUGAAAGUGGUAGCAAAUGCUGCUACUUGGACACUAGAUUUGAACAUUAUGAAACAAAACGAUUUAUUGUUGAACUAGGACUCCUUUCACUACAUUCUGAUGGAAGAUCAUCAAAGAGUAAUCCUGUACUGACCAGAAAUGGAAUACAUUGCCUCAGGAUGAUAUCCUACAUAUUUUGAUACCCUGCAUGAGGAUCUUCUAUCUUUUUGUCAUGAAGACGGGGAAGGGCCUUUCAUUGUGGAUUCUAGGAUAUAAUGAUGACUUUUGAUGUCCAAUGUGGCUGGAGGGGUGGUGUCUCAGCUGUGGAUGAUGGCCAGGUUUUUUCUCUAGGUGAAGUCCUUACAGGAGAAAAUUCCAGAAAAACAAUUCUGCCAUAUUUUCAAUCCAGCGAUAAAUUACUUUGUGGUGGACUUUUGUUUUCCAAGUAAAUACAAAGGAGUGAAAAUGUUAAUGACCCAUAAGAGUGUGUGCUUAUUCGAUAAUUACACUCAAAAAGUGGUGUAAGGUUUAUAUUCCAUACAUUGUGGGAUAUAUUUCUUAUUGGUCCUUUUGCAGAAAACUCAUGGUUUGGAGCUCUCGUGUGAAAUUGGAUGGUAUGAGCAGAAAGUUGGCGCUUGUACAAAUGUCCAGAUCCAUUUUACCAGUAAUAACAGCUUCCUUUUCUUCAGAGACUUUUCACAGCAUUGGAUGUGUAUUACAUUUUAAUGACUGCAAGUGCAUAAUCCUCAACACUGUGGAAAUGGUUUAGAGUCCAGUUUACAUCAUUUAACUCGUCAAAGCUGACAUUAACCAAAUGAAGUUAUGUGACUGCUUCUUUAGCCGCUACACUAAUAUUCAUCCAUUAAUCUGUAUUUACCAGGAGACAAGUCUCACUUCAUCUGAAGAAUUCCCAAAAGAAUAAAUAGAUUCAGAUUAGCAAGACUGAAAUUUCCCAUCAAUUCAGAAUUUCUCUCAAGGCUUUUUUUCCCUUCCUUAGAAGGUUUAUUUCGUAACAUUUGCUGCAACGCUUCAGCAAGUCUGUGAGGUGAUUACUGCAGCACGAUUUAAAAGUAUGCAGCGCUUUCAGAAAGUAUUCACACCCCUUGACUUUUCCCACAUGUUGUUUUGUUACAACCUGAAUUUAAAAUAUAUUUAAAAAACGAUUUUGUGUCACUGAUCUACACACAAUACCCCAUCACAUCCCAGUUGAAUUUUGUCUUUAGAAACGUCUACAAAUUAAUUAAAACCUGAAAUGUUUUGAGUCAAUACAUGUUUCAACCAUUUUGUUAUGGUGAGUAGAAAUGUUGCUUAACAAGUCACAUAAUAAAUUGGAUGGAUUCCAUCUGUG
Oncorhynchus tshawytscha (Chinook salmon) is the source of this 1510-nucleotide long non-coding RNA. The record is from Ensembl. NCBI's taxonomy places the organism in Eukaryota, Metazoa, Chordata, Actinopteri, Salmoniformes, Salmonidae.